UGAACAUACACAGAAGUACUUCCCCCAUCAAGUAGUGUGUGAAUGUUAGAGGUAAUAACCUCAAAGCUUUCUCUCUUCCUCUGUUUAGUGCCAUGAAAGGAAUUAGAAUGAAGGCCUCUAUGAAAUAAUAUGAAGAAUUUUGUCUCUCCAGGUGAAGUGAAGCUCCCUUUUCCGAGGUGUCUCCAUCAGCUGAUCUGGCCAUCUCAGUUCUCCAGUCUCCAAGGAAGCACCAGGAACACAUGGCCCGCAUUCUCCCCAGGGCACCUCACAUAGGAUCAAGGUGUGAGCAUCAAGAUACGAUCAGGAGCAGCUGAGUGUUCCUGCCAUAUGUCUUUUCUCCACCACCAUGGACUCUAACCCUCCGAAACUGGCCCAUUGAAGGGGAGAAUGCUGAAAAGUUUCAAGAGUCAGAGGUUGGGGAGGACUUCUACAAAACAGUGUUUUCUAGACUUUCAAGGCUAUUGCACACACAACUCUGAGUGUCUAUUGUUUCCUGUACAAGACUGACCACAAGCCAGGCAAAAAUCAUAGCCUGGAUGGUGGAGGGGCACAUGAAACCCAAUGCUAGCAGAGGAUUCAUGGCAGUGGUUGGCUGCUGGAGGAAGGAGAAUCAGUUUUCUUCUGGAUUGUGGCUCCUGGUAGGUUGUCAAUGUUUCAGUGAAUGACCCUACACCCAUGUACAUACUAGAAAUGUCAACUGGACUCAGUGACCACCCCAAAAGAGGACAUGAAGAUGGGAGGGAGACCCAAUGGAGGAGUUUGAGGUAGCAAUCUAGGGGCAGAUAUCAAAAUACAUUGAAAAUUUAAAAAAUAAGUAAAAUGUAUUAAAAUCAGAUUGUUCUGCAUAGUCGUUUGGGGGUCUUAUGUAGUCUAGCUAUUAACCCACUGUUUGGCAUUUUCCCUUUUCAUUUUUUAGUGUUCUUUACACUAUCUUCUCUGCUUUUGUUCUUAUUUCUUACACUUUUAUAAUAUUUUCUAAAAAUAACCCUUGCUCCUUGAAAUUUCCUAGAAUGUUUUCCAUAGUCACUUCAGUUUUAUUUAAACCUUUAAUACAUGUUGGGCUGGUUUCUGUAACUGGAGAGAGGAGCCUAGUUCCACUAAUUUGCAUGCUGAUGUCCAUUUUCCUCAGCACCCUUUACUGAAGAUUGUCCUUUCUCCAGUGUGCCUUUUUGACAUCUCAAAUAUUAGUUGGAGGAGCUCUUCAUUUUGACACAAUGCCCAUCUCUAUUGCCCACCUUCUAUAUGCCUGCAAACACUAAGGUUAAAAUUAACUUCAUUUUCAAGUGUUGUCAGAAUGCCCCAGCCCAUCACAUUAAUAAAGCACAAAUGUUUGUAUUAAUUGCGAUCUUUGGCAAUCAUUCCAACAAAGUUUAGUGACUUCUUUGUUACUGUGUUCAAGAGUUACCAGGACUCCAGGAGUAUACAUUUUAAUUAAUUUUUUCCUAAGGACCAGUUGAACCUUUGAAUUCCAGUUAUCCUUGGAAACUCAUUGUCUAUGGAAAAACUUAUCUUGCAUCACUUAUAUUGCAAUCUGAAUCAACAAAGCAUUCUGAAAUCACAUGUAAAAAAUGAUUGCAGAGGUACAGAAUACUGCACACUCAGUAGGCUUAGCCUCAAGUAGAUUCUCUAUAAUUUACAGUCUUCAAAGAUGUUCUGGCAUGAGCUAAACACAUUCUUGAGUUAAUUUCUAUGGAGAUUAAUAAGACUCUAUGACAAAAAUGUCUUGGGGAAACUGGAAUUUGGCAGGCUUUUCUAAUUGCUGUAAGGAUGUUUUAUGUGAGAGUUAUAGUUUAGUAGUAAUAUCUUUUGCCCUGUUUCCUUUGUUACUCAGGUUUUGUUGUCCAAUAGUAUUUUCACAAGAAUUAUAUAAUAAAAUCAACAGUAAGUUUUAUGCAUUUUGCAUCCAUAAUAUUUAACUUACAAUCUUGUACUUACUGUCAUUUUAUUAUACUUUGGAACAUACUUACUGAAUUUUGGACAUUGUGGAAACUUCUAGAAAUACAAAUAUAGUAUUCGUGGUCUGUACUUUUUAUUUCCUUAUGUCUCAUAAACUUUACCCACAAUACAUUUCUUCAUCCACAAUACAUUUCUUUUUUCUCACAAAGUUAUUGAAUGAGUGAACAAAUAUGUAACACUACCAACAAGAAAAUAAAAUCAGUAUUUAAAAUAUAA
Non-coding RNA from Cricetulus griseus (Chinese hamster), 2172 nucleotides. Lineage: Eukaryota; Metazoa; Chordata; Mammalia; Rodentia; Cricetidae. The record is from RefSeq and is a predicted model, not a curated record.